This 788-nucleotide ribosomal RNA is filed under the name uncultured bacterium. RNAcentral's name for it is "bacterial SSU rRNA". It matches the Rfam family "Bacterial small subunit ribosomal RNA", at positions 637 to 1423 of the family's 1533-position model. The record is from RNAcentral.
CAAUCUAGAGUAUCGGAGAGGAAAGUGGAAUUCCUAGUGUAGCGGUGAAAUGCGUAGAUAUUAGGAGGAACACCAGUGGCGAAGGCGACUUUCUGGACGAAAACUGACGCUGAGGCGCGAAAGCCAGGGGAGCGAACGGGGUUAGAUACCCCGGUAGUCCUGGCCGUAAACGAUGGGUACUAGGUGUAGGAGGUAUCGACCCCUUCUGUGCCGGAGUUAACGCAAUAAGUACCCCGCCUGGGGAGUACGACCGCAAGGUUGAAACUCAAAGGAAUUGACGGGGGCCCGCACAAGCGGUGGAGUAUGUGGUUUAAUUCGACGCAACGCGAAGAACCUUACCAGGUCUUGACAUUGAUGGACAGAACUAGAGAUAGUUCCUCUUCUUCGGAAGCCAGAAAACAGGUGGUGCACGGUUGUCGUCAGCUCGUGUCGUGAGAUGUUGGGUUAAGUCCCGCAACGAGCGCAACCCCUAUCUUAUGUUGCCCGCACUUUGGGUGGGAACUCAUGAGAGACUGCCGCAGACAAUGCGGAGGGAGGCGGGGAUGACGUCAAAUCAUCAUGCCCCUUAUGACCUGGGCUACACACGUACUACAAUGGGAGUUAAUAGACGGAAGCGAGAUCGCGAGAUGGAGCAAACCCGAGAAACACUCUCUCAGUUCGGAUCGUAGGCUGCAACUCGCCUACGUGAAGUCGGAAUCGCUAGUAAUCGCAGGUCAGCAUACUGCGGUGAAUACGUUCCCGGGCCUUGUACACACCGCCCGUCACACCACGAAAGUCGGAAGUGCCCA